This 197-nucleotide unclassified non-coding RNA is filed under the name uncultured Tomentella. Its description in RNAcentral is "sequence contains ITS1". Lineage: Eukaryota; Fungi; Basidiomycota; Agaricomycetes; Thelephorales; Thelephoraceae. The record is from RNAcentral.
CCGAAUUGUCAACAAGAGUUGUUGCUGGUCCUCAAAUGGGGGCAUGUGCACGCUCUGUUCACACAUCCACUCACACCCUGUGCACCCUCUGUAGUUCUAUGGUCAGGGGUCCUGUCCUCCUGCUGUGGUUCUGCAUUUCACACACACACUGUAACAAAGUCUCAUGGAAUGCAUGUCGCGUUUAACGCAAUACAAUA